Molecule: ribosomal RNA, 253 nt
Filed under: uncultured prokaryote
Description: partial 16S ribosomal RNA
Rfam family: Bacterial small subunit ribosomal RNA
Source: RNAcentral
ACGUAGGCAGCGAGCGUUGUUCGGAGUUACUGGGCGUAAAGGGUGUGUAGGCGGUUGUUUAAGUUUGGUGUGAAAUCUCCCGGCUCAACUGGGAGGGUGCGCCGAAUACUGAAUGACUAGAGUGCGGGAGAGGAGAGUGGAAUUCCUGGUGUAGCGGUGAAAUGCGUAGAGAUCGGGAGGAACAUCUGUGGCGAAGGCGACUGCCAGGACCAGCACUGACACUGAGGCACGAAAGCGUGGGGAGCAAACAGGA